UUUGUUAUCUCACAAAAAUGAAACUUUUGGUUCCUUUAGUUUUACUAUUCUCUUCGUCCAUAAUGGCUGCUGAAGAAGCUAGCCGGACGAAGAAAAAUAUUCUUCCACUCGCUGCACCUAUGCUCCUGAGCCCCACACCAGUGAUAACUCGCUCAAUGAUGAUGAUGCCCGCCAUGCCUGCAAUGACCUCAAUGCCUGCCAUGCCAACCAUGUUGUUACCCUCGAUGACACCUCUCAGCCCGGUGAUGCCUUACACGACAACUUACAGCUACCUUCCUUCAGUUACCACAAUGAUGUCAUCAUCAAUCGCAAUGCCUGCCCCCGCCAUCAUGAAAUCAAUGCCCAUGGCCUUGAUGUCAGGAAAAAUUAUGAUGAUGGACAAAUCUAUGUCUGGGAUGCCAAUGAUGUCCAUGGAGAAGGGUAUGCCCAUGAUGAUGAGUAAGUCCAUGCCACAGAUGUCAAUGGAGAAGGGCAUGCCAACGAUGAUGGACAAAUCUAUGUCCGAAAUGCCCAUGGAGAAGGACAUGUCAAUGAUGAUGGGCAAGUCUAUGCCACAGAUGUCUAUGGAGAAGGGUAUGCCAAUGAUGAUGGAGAAAUCUAUGUCCGAAAUGCCCAUGGAGAAAGACAUGUCUAUGAUGAUGGGCAAGGCUAUGCCACAGAUGUCUAUGGAGAAGGGUAUGCCAAUGAUGAUGGAGAAAUCUAUGUCCGAAAUGCCCAUGGAGAAGGACAUGUCAAUGAUGAUGGGCAAGUCUAUGCCACAGAUGCCAAUGCAGCAGGAUAUGCUUAGUAUGCUGAUGGACAAAUCUAUGUCACAGAUGCCCAUGGAGAAGGACAUGCCAAUGAUGAUGGGCAAGUCUAUGCAGGAUAUGUCGAUGGAGAAGGAUAUGUCAAUGAUGAUGGAUAGCAACAAAAACAUGGAGGGCAUGUCUCUCGAAAAAAUGAUGAUGGAAAAGCAAGCGUCCACCAUGCCGAUGGGAAGAAUGAUGAUGGAGAAAUCUAUGCCUGCACUCGCUGGAAGCAACAUGGGAAUGAUGGGAAUGGGAGGUUCUGGUGCGAUUUCGAUGGAAUCGAGUCAGGGCAGAAGGCAAGCAGAUCUGAAAAAUAUGAAUCUCCCACGAUAAGACCAUGGUGGUUAUUCUCUUCCUCAACUAGUGGAUAUUUCACAAGAGUAUAAAGGAGCGAAGUUAUGCAAUGAAAAAGGCAAGACCAUCCAACAAUUAAAUUAAGCCCAUAUCUACUUUUGAGAAUUACAAUCAAGGGAAAAGCUCUAAACCUCUUCCUCGCUGAUCACCACAAGCUCCAGAUGGCGAUGGACAUUGAAUUAUAACUCGCAGAGGAUCCAUUUCUCGGUAUCGUAGCGCUGUCAAUAUCAGUUGAAAUGACUGCGUGGAAGGCUGUGAAAAAUUUUGAGCAUAAAAAGGGCAAGAGGGAAACUUCAAAUUCUGUGAUCUAUAAUUUUAAGUUAGGUUUUAUUUCAAUUGACAAUCCCGGGAUUUAGAAAUGCUUGUUUAAGUAUUCCACUAAUCUUAUAGUUUGAAUUCAGCAACUUUGUAAGUGCAAAUUUGAUUGAAAUUCUUUCGUGGUUGAAAAUUUCUGACGUUAUUAAAAAUAUUAAAAUUAUGUUUUACUAAGACAUUGUUUCUUAUUCUCUAACCUCUAUCUCACGCAAUUUUUGCCCUUGUCGAUUCUGUUUAGAUUCAGAGUCAAUUGAAACUAGGAUCUUUUAAAGAUCUACUGUUUUCAAAAAGUUCAUUGCACUACUCAACUUUUAAUUUUAAUAAUUGUUUAUUCCUUUGAAAUUCAUUUGGCCUCGCUUUUACUGUAACUUUCAAAUUGGACGGUAUUUUACAAAUUGGAACAAAAAUUUUAGGCUCAUUUCAGAAACAGCAUAAGUGCCAUAAGUUCUCGUAAGCAGAUACGUGCUUUUAUGAAUGAGCUUGAAAUUGCAGUUCCUACAAUUGCAAAAUCUAGUCCAAUUAAUCUAAUGUAUUGUCACUCAAGAGGAAUUAACAUCCCACUUUCUGACGACAUACAGAAUGGUUAAAUUCAAUACAAAAUAAGAAUGGUAAUUUUGGCAUGUAUGCUUAUUUAAAAUCUCAAAAAAUGGUGUGUCUAUUUCGAAAUAGAAGAAAAAUUUUAUUUGUUGAUUUGGGAAAAGGAAAAAAAAUCAUAAAAAUUAUUGAUCUAAGGAAUGCCAAUCGAUUAAAUAAUUGGCAUAACAACUGUCAACCAGUUUUCUACACUGUUGUUAGUUUUGCACUGGGCAUUGUAGCAAUAUUUCUGAGAAUUUUAGAACUUAAAUUGCAAGACUAAAAAUGAUCAAUAUUUAUGCAACUUCGUUUAAUUAUUUGCGCCAUUAAAGUCAGCCGAGGAGAGUGUAUUAUUACUACUUUCAAACCUCCUUGCACACUUUUGUCUUCAAGUUAUUGAGGAUGAAGUACACUUGUUUUCUUACUUAUCUAUCAGUAAAGGAUGUACAAAAUUGUACAAAUUGUCGAAAGCUUUGAAAAAACUGGUAUAACCAAGAUGGAAGAAAGACGAGCAUACUUGCAGAGUGACUGAUUGUGAGUUUAAAGUAAAAGCAAGUUGUUCAAGAGAAAUUCCAAGGAAUACAUUUUUAAUCCUUUUAAAUGUUCGACUUAUCAUGCAACUUGACAACCAAGUAUCAAGGGCGCGGUUAGAAACAGCACGUUUAUCCCUCCUUUCUGACACGAAAAAAAUAACGCUUGCGCCAAGGGCCAUGCGGGGAGAGAAUGAUAAUGGCAAAAGUGAACGAGAAGCAUUGCAGAAAGAAAACACACAAUGAGGUGUAAAUUAAUCGAGGGACGAAUGAUUUAUAUUAUUUGCGGGGAAAUUUCAACAUUGUGCAUUUUCAUUAUAUUUUCUUGAAGUAGAAUAAUAAUGAAACAAGUCAAAGAGUUGCUUAUACACGAGUUGAGUGGCAUCGGGGUCGAUGCUGGAUAUUUUUUUUUCUACACUAUUGAGAGAGGCAUUUAAUUUGAUUGAAAUAAAUAAAUAAAGAAAUAAACAAUAAUUUGAAAAUGAAUCGAUCUCUUUUUGUGAAAUGAGUUUGACAUACCGACUGCAGUUUUGUUCUGUUGACGAGAAGACCGAUUUAUGAACCAAAAAUUCAGCCUCCAGCAUUAUUUCUGCCCUGCAGGAAAAUUCCUUUUCAGGUGCAAGACAUCUUUAAUCUUGUCGAAAAAAAAGUUACCGCUCAAGGCAAUUCUUCCAUCGAAAUAGUAUGCCGAAAUCAUUUUACUGUUCCACAUGACUUUGGUAGACUGUGGUUUUUUAUGUGCAGACAUUGUGAAUUGACUUACGCAUAAAACGUUAUUUUUUCAAUUCUGAAUUGAAUACGGAAAGUUCUAAUGCGUUUACUGUAUUUUAAGAAAAAAUGCUGAUAGAGCAAAUAUACUGUGCUGCUUAAUUUUAUACCGUGUCUAAUGGUCUAUGGUGACGACGCAAAGAUACGCAUUUUCGUAACUUAAUCAGCGAAAUUUCAAUCACAAAUGCUCUAAAAAUCAGAGAUUAAUCAUACACCGAGAUCGAGGUUUGGUGUAAUUAAAAAUCCGUACCGUGAUAAAUAUGAUAUAUCACAAAUAAUCUUCAGAGGCACAAAAAUACCUCAAAUAUCAUUAAGGCAUGUACUUCCUUUGUGAUCUGGUCGCCUUUUCACCUAGAAACUCACGAACUGACUAUAUAGACUUCAUUUUGCAAUGAGGAACUUCAAAAUUAGUUCUCAAAAACCACUAAAAAUAAAAAAAAUAAAAAAAUAAAUAAAAUCACUCAUCUGCACAAAGAUAUCAUGCAGCGACUUGUGCGUUAUUUGUGUUACUUAUCAACCAAGAGUGAUAGUUAUCAUCCUAACUAUGCAAAAUGUAGUCCAUAAUACAAUCCGGCAACACGGCUAUGAUAACCAUUGAAGAUCUCUUCGUUUCUUAAAAGCUCAUUGAUACUGUAUAAAAAAUGUUGACAACAUUUCGUUUUUGUAAAAUUUACGAAGUUUCACAAACAACACCUGUUUAUGUAUGUGCCAUUGUAUUUAAAACUUUAAAACGCAUCGCGGUGAUGAUCUCUAAAAAUAAACAAAGAGUAUUCCCGCACCAUUUCAGUUUUUUCCUGCUUUCCAGUCCCUCCUGCCUCCGGCGAGAGAUCGAGAGUUCGCGAGGACACUUUAUCGCAUCUCUAACAUAAGGGCGUACCUCUAUUUCCGUGUGAGCUCUAGAAAGGGUGGAUUUAGAUGUAAAACAAGGUUCACGUGGAAAUUGAGAAAUGCUCUUACGUCAGAGGAACGAUGACUUGUUCUGAUUCCCGAGUGCAUCUGUCAAACCGGUUGUUCGGUGACCUUCAAGAUGAGAUGGUCAUUGCUCAGGAUGAAGAGCCUCCGUUUGCAGUGAAUCGAUCGAUGUUAAAACCGAGCAUGGCCAUUUCUAUUGAGCCUUGAAAUCCAUAAGAUUGCUUUUAUGCUUUCGCAUGUGCUGUUUUA
Molecule: long non-coding RNA, 4489 nt
Filed under: Bemisia tabaci
Lineage: Eukaryota; Metazoa; Arthropoda; Insecta; Hemiptera; Aleyrodidae
Description: lncRNA ENSSSA1UGG002306
Source: RNAcentral